This 1372-nucleotide long non-coding RNA is filed under the name Monodelphis domestica (gray short-tailed opossum). RNAcentral describes it as "lncRNA (ENSMODG00000047169.1)". Lineage: Eukaryota; Metazoa; Chordata; Mammalia; Didelphimorphia; Didelphidae. The record is from RNAcentral.
AGGAUCAUUUUUCGAAAUAUUUUAGGGAGGUCAUUUCUAGGGACAAUGGGCAUAAAGCUGUGGUUUGACCCACAAUAUUUCUGAACAUUGGCCGUAAAACACUCCGGGGCGGAGAGGAGGUUAGAGUGACUUGGUUUAGGCGUCCGGGGAUAGCAUCUGCUUUUAGGCCUAGAGAUGGAACUGCCCAUGCAUGUAGAACAUCUUUCUGAAGAGACUAGCAUUCGGAUCAGGCAGUUCUAUAGGUAGGACAACUCGAUUAUCUACUUCUAACAGUCGAAGUUGUCCUGGUAUAAGGUCUUGGGUAGGAACCAUAUAGGAAUCAAAUGUCAAAUUUUCAUAGUCGGGUGUAUUCAUAACUUCAGUAUCAUUGAUGUCCUAUAGCUUUGACUGUAAGAUAGGGGUUAUAAAUUUCGUCCUAUUAUGUAAAGAAUUCGUAGUGAUGGGAGAGAGCAAUUAGAACUAGAAUAACUGCUGGUAUAAUAAGUUCAAAUUGUUUCUACCUUCUUGAGCAUCUAUAGGUGCUUGUGUGAGUUAGUUUAGUAGUUAGCAUUUAGAAUAAUAAUAUAAAGGAACUUAGGGAGCUAAUUUAGGAACACAAGUUAUUAAUGUGUGAUCAUGCAAAAUAUAUGAGUUCCUUCUAUAAAUAGAGGGAUGUGGCAUCUUGGAAAACCUGUCUGUAUAGGGUACGGGCAUUUAAGAUAUACAAGAAUUGGAGCUUGUAAUUUAACUAUGGCAAAGGUUAUGUAAUUAUUUUACUAAUAUCUUGUGAGAAAGUCAUAAAGGUUAUGGGGUGUGUUAUAGUAGUUAACUUUGAAGAUUCUUUUUUAGGACUUGUAGUUUUUUUAGUUUAUUUAGGGGGUAUGUUAGUAGUGUUUGGUUAUACUGCCGCUAUGGCUACAGAAGAAUACCCUGAGACUUGAGUUGGAAAUAUCCUGGCUUUUUGUAUAUUAUUAUUUGUAUUACUUAUAGAGAUUAUAUGAUACUUUAUCUUUGGUAAUACUUAUGUAGAUUCUAAUAUUGAGUUGAUUGAUUUCACAGUAAUAAGUUGUAUUGGUCAAGAUUUUAGUGGUGUCCCUUUAUUAUAUUGAUGUGGGGGAUGAGCUUUAGCUUUGUUAGGAUGAAUUUUAUUUAUUACUAUCUAUGUUGUGUUAGAAGUUGUUCGUGGACAUAGAUGCGAAUAUUAGAGGAAGUGUAAUUGAGAUCAGAAAGGAUAUAAAGUAAACUUUAAUUAGGCCUUUUUGAGUAGAAGUAAGUAGUGAUGAUAUUGAAGAAUGGAUAUUAGUCUGCCCUUUAGGUCCUGUUUUUUCAUAUCAGUUUAUAUCAAUUAGUAUGGUAGCAAUGCGUUGGCCUGAAUAUAGAUUUAUUAGGGGGU